RNAcentral lists this ribosomal RNA (215 nucleotides) under uncultured bacterium. RNAcentral's name for it is "partial 16S ribosomal RNA". It matches the Rfam family "Bacterial small subunit ribosomal RNA", at positions 118 to 334 of the family's 1533-position model. The record is from RNAcentral.
UGGGUGACCUACCCCCCAGUGAGGAAUACCGGCGAGAAAUCGCCGACAAGACCGCAUAGGCUCUGGUGGAUGAAGCCAGCAGAGCAAAGUCGCAAGACGCUGAGGGAUGGGCCUGUGGCCGAUUAGCUAGUUGGUGGGGUAAGCGCCUACCAAGGCCACGAUCGGUAGCUGGUCUGAGAGGACGAACAGCCACACUGGGAUUGAGAACGGCCCAG